Molecule: ribosomal RNA, 161 nt
Filed under: uncultured delta proteobacterium
Lineage: Bacteria; Deltaproteobacteria
Description: partial 16S ribosomal RNA
Rfam family: Bacterial small subunit ribosomal RNA
Source: RNAcentral
UGGGGAAUAUUGCGCAAUGGGGGAAACCCUGACGCAGCAAUGCCGCGUGAGUGAGGAAGGCCCUCGGGUUGUAAAGCUCUGUCAGAUAGGAAGAACUGCCAUUGGUCCAAUAGGCCUUUGGUUUGACGGUACUAUCAAAGGAAGCACCGGCUAACUUCGUG